Molecule: ribosomal RNA, 460 nt
Filed under: uncultured bacterium
Lineage: Bacteria
Description: partial 16S ribosomal RNA
Rfam family: Bacterial small subunit ribosomal RNA
Source: RNAcentral
CCUACGGGAGGCAGCAGUGAGGAAUAUUGGUCAAUGGACGAGAGUCUGAACCAGCCAAGUAGCGUGAAGGAUGACUGCCCUAUGGGUUGUAAACUUCUUUUAUAUGGGAAUAAAAUGUUCCACGUGUGGGAUUUUGUAUGUACCAUAUGAAUAAGGAUCGGCCAACUCCGGGCCAGCAGCCGCGGUAAUACGGAGGUUCCGAGCGUUAUCCGGAUGUAUUGGGUGUAAAGGGAGCGUAGGUGGAUUGUUAAGUCAGUUGUGAAAGUUUGCGGGUCAACCGGAAAAUUGCAGUUGAAACUGGCAGUCGUGAGUACAGUAGAGGUGGGCGGAAUUCGUGGUGGAGCGGUGAAAUGCUUAGAUAUCACGAAGAACGCCGAUUGCGAAGGCAGUUCACUGGACUGCAACUGACACUGAGGCUCGAAAGUGUGGGUAUCAAACAGGAUUAGAUACCCUAGUAGGC